ACGCUUCUUUUUCCACCGGAGCUUGCUCCACCGGAAAAAGAGGAGUGGCGAACGGGUGAGUAACACGUGGGUAACCUGCCCAUCAGAAGGGGAUAACACUUGGAAACAGGUGCUAAUACCGUAUAACAAUCGAAACCGCAUGGUUUUGAUUUGAAAGGCGCUUUCGGGUGUCGCUGAUGGAUGGACCCGCGGUGCAUUAGCUAGUUGGUGAGGUAACGGCUCACCAAGGCCACGAUGCAUAGCCGACCUGAGAGGGUGAUCGGCCACAUUGGGACUGAGACACGGCCCAAACUCCUACGGGAGGCAGCAGUAGGGAAUCUUCGGCAAUGGACGAAAGUCUGACCGAGCAACGCCGCGUGAGUGAAGAAGGUUUUCGGAUCGUAAAACUCUGUUGUUAGAGAAGAACAAGGAUGAGAGUAACUGUUCAUCCCUUGACGGUAUCUAACCAGAAAGCCACGGCUAACUACGUGCCAGCAGCCGCGGUAAUACGUAGGUGGCAAGCGUUGUCCGGAUUUAUUGGGCGUAAAGCGAGCGCAGGCGGUUUCUUAAGUCUGAUGUGAAAGCCCCCGGCUCAACCGGGGAGGGUCAUUGGAAACUGGGAGACUUGAGUGCAGAAGAGGAGAGUGGAAUUCCAUGUGUAGCGGUGAAAUGCGUAGAUAUAUGGAGGAACACCAGUGGCGAAGGCGGCUCUCUGGUCUGUAACUGACGCUGAGGCUCGAAAGCGUGGGGAGCAAACAGGAUUAGAUACCCUGGUAGUCCACGCCGUAAACGAUGAGUGCUAAGUGUUGGAGGGUUUCCGCCCUUCAGUGCUGCAGCUAACGCAUUAAGCACUCCGCCUGGGGAGUACGACCGCAAGGUUGAAACUCAAAGGAAUUGACGGGGGCCCGCACAAGCGGUGGAGCAUGUGGUUUAAUUCGAAGCAACGCGAAGAACCUUACCAGGUCUUGACAUCCUUUGACCACUCUAGAGAUAGAGCUUCCCCUUCGGGGGCAAAGUGACAGUGGGUGCAUGGUUGUCGUCAGCUCGUGUCGUGAGAUGUUGGGUUAAGUCCCG
This 1053-nucleotide ribosomal RNA is filed under the name Enterococcus hirae. RNAcentral's name for it is "bacterial SSU rRNA". It matches the Rfam family "Bacterial small subunit ribosomal RNA", at positions 66 to 1089 of the family's 1533-position model. The record is from RNAcentral. Lineage: Bacteria; Bacillati; Bacillota; Bacilli; Lactobacillales; Enterococcaceae.